RNAcentral lists this ribosomal RNA (437 nucleotides) under uncultured bacterium. RNAcentral's name for it is "bacterial SSU rRNA". It matches the Rfam family "Bacterial small subunit ribosomal RNA", at positions 975 to 1415 of the family's 1533-position model. The record is from RNAcentral.
CAAGGCUUGACAUAUAGAGGAAAAGUGCAGAAAUGUACUCCCCGUAAGGUCUCUAUACAGGUGGUGCAUGGUUGUCGUCAGCUCGUGUCGUGAGAUGUUGGGUUAAGUCCCGCAACGAGCGCAACCCUCGUCCUAUGUUGCCAGCACGUAAUGGUGGGAACUCAUGGGAUACUGCCGGGGUCAACUCGGAGGAAGGUGGGGAUGACGUCAAAUCAUCAUGCCCCUUAUGUCUUGGGCUUCACGCAUGCUACAAUGGCCGGUACAGAGGGCUGCAAUACCGUAAGGUGGAGCGAAUCCCAAAAAGCCGGUCUCAGUUCGGAUUGAGGUCUGCAACUCGACCUCAUGAAGUCGGAGUCGCUAGUAAUCGUAGAUCAGCAACACUACGGUGAAUACGUUCCCGGGUCUGUACACACCGAAUCUAGAGCAUCGGAGCGACC